GACGAACGCUGGCGGCGUGCUUAACACAUGCAAGUCGAACGGAAAGGCCCUGCUUUUGUGGGGUGCUCGAGUGGCGAACGGGUGAGUAACACGUGAGUAACCUGCCCUUGACUUUGGGAUAACUUCAGGAAACUGGGGCUAAUACCGGAUAGGAGCUCCUGCUGCAUGGUGGGGGUUGGAAAGUUUCGGCGGUUGGGGAUGGACUCGCGGCUUAUCAGCUUGUUGGUGGGGUAGUGGCUUACCAAGGCUUUGACGGGUAGCCGGCCUGAGAGGGUGACCGGCCACAUUGGGACUGAGAUAAGGCCCAGACUCCUACGGGAGGCAGGAGUGGGGAAUAUUGGACAAUGGGCGGAAGCCUGAUGCAGCAACGCCGCGUGCGGGAUGACGGCCUUCGGGUUGUAAACCGCUUUCGCCUGUGACGAAGCGUGAGUGACGGUAAUGGGUAAAGAAGCACCGGCUAACUACGUG
Molecule: ribosomal RNA, 468 nt
Filed under: uncultured bacterium
Lineage: Bacteria
Description: partial 16S ribosomal RNA
Rfam family: Bacterial small subunit ribosomal RNA
Source: RNAcentral